CUGUCUAUCUCCCUCCCUGUCAUUCUAUCUCUGCCAUCUCUUCCCAUCCCUCUUCCACUAAUCAAUCUCUUCCCCUUCCUAAUUAAUUUCUCCACUUGAAUGACAAAAAUUGAAUCAACCUAUUGAGCUUGAUCUGUUUUUUCCAAUUCCCCAGCCACCUCUCCAUCUUCUGUCCGUUCACCUCUCCGUAACCGUGCUCCAGCCGCUUCUUCCACUUCUCGCCAUGAAAACAGCGCCACAAUUUCCAAUUCCCUGCAGAUCCCUUCAUCUCCUCCUUCAGUUUCUCAUCUUCAAGGCCAAACGUUGAAUCCUCCUCAAUUGCUAGACUAUUUCUCUAAUAGCUGCAGCACCCCUCUUCCUUUCCUCUUUGUUUAACCACCACACCACUGCCCCAGCCAUGCCGUGCUGCUGUUGCUGCUGCUGCUGCUUCCGCAACACCGUGCUGCAGCAUUGAAGCUCUCCCACUUCGCUUGUACGCCAUUGUCCUGCUGCUCGGUACCUCGAGCCGGUGCCAUCGUCGCAGCCCGAGGGAGGACGGCUGCCAUCACGCCUGCAAGCCGCCUCUCUGCUGGCUGCCGGGAGGUCAAGCCGUUGCCAUCGUCUUCUUGUUUCAAACACUGCUACAUCAUCGAGAGGUCCCUCAAUUGCCGGGGAUUGGUGCAACGUUGUUUUGCCCAUCCACCGCCUCCUGUGCUAUCUUUUAUCAAGCUGUCCACCAGCGCCGACGAUUCUCUGUCAACCACCCGCUGCUGCUGCAACUUCUCCUUUGCGCCACCAACUAAAUGCCAUCAUCGGUGGUGAACCACGUUGCUCCUUCAUGUUCGGUCGCCGUCGCCUGCACGCAGAGGCGCUGCUGCCGUCGUGGAACCAGAGCCGCCCUCUCGCCAUCCACUUCGGAAGCCCAAGCCACUGAUGCCAUCUUCUCCUUUGCUGGAGCUUUGUUGCUUCAUCUUCUCUGCCAUGGCUGGUAAUCCCCUGCACUCCAUCCAUGUACUGUUUUGUUUCCUCCAUUCAAGAUCAAAAUUUAAAUCACUAAUCAUCAGUUAGCCCCGUUUUCACUGUCCCUCCAAUUCUCGGUUGGUUGUUCAUCUCCUUUGCAUAUACCAACGUGAAUUUUUUUGAGAAUUAAUAUUAUUUUUAUGGAAAAUCGCAAAAGUAGUGGUCAACCGGAGAAAAUCGCGAAAGUAGGUCCCUGUCGAACGGGUGCAGUUCGAUAGGGCGCCUAUCGAACGGCCAGAGCGCGACUGGCGAGGAGAUCGGAAGGCUACCGUUCGACAGGACCUGUCGAACAGCCCCCGUUCGACAGGCAGGGCUGUCGAACUGCCCCUGUUCGACAGGAGGGCUGUCAAACUGCCCCUGUUCGACAGGAUAUCCGUCGAACUGGCGUAGUUCGACAGGGUCGCGUUCUCCAUUUAUUUGUAAUAAGUUAUUUUUUUAAUAAUAUGUAAUUUAUUUUAGUGUGUAAGAAAGGAAAAUAUUUUUGUAAUGUUAUAUGUAUAUGAUUUAGGGUUUUGAUAAUGUUUGGUAAGAAAUUGUAGUAUUUUUUUGUUGGUUAAAAUAUUUGAAUUAUUUAGUUUCAUUAUUUUUUGUAUAUUUGAAUGAUAAUUUGUCAUGAUUCAUUUGAAGGAUAUGCUACUAAGUAAUUAUCCGAAGAAGUUUA
Non-coding RNA from Oryza sativa Japonica Group (Japanese rice), 1660 nucleotides. The record is from RefSeq and is a predicted model, not a curated record. NCBI's taxonomy places the organism in Eukaryota, Viridiplantae, Streptophyta, Magnoliopsida, Poales, Poaceae.